This is a long non-coding RNA of Perca flavescens (yellow perch), 605 nucleotides long. RefSeq lists it as uncharacterized. Lineage: Eukaryota; Metazoa; Chordata; Actinopteri; Perciformes; Percidae. The record is from RefSeq and is a predicted model, not a curated record. The transcript has 4 exons.
CUGAAUCAGGGGCUAUAUGAUGUCGUAUCAAAACUACUGUUGAUGAAAGGAUCCAUUCCCACUAUUCAGGACCCUCUCCCAAGCAUUGAAACUGGAGCCAUUAGACCUGUUUCCCAGGCCAAUACCUCCCGGAGUAUUGGCUGCCAGACUGACCCCCUUCCUAAAAGAUCUGUUGGAACCCAACUAUCAAAGGACACUCCUAAGACUCGCGUCAGAAGCAGAGACUCUAUCUCUCAGCAUCCCACUUCAAUGAGAAUGCCAACCGGCCACAGUCAACAAGUGCUCUGGGAGAUCCUGCCUUUAAACUGGCCUUCCCUAAAGCGAAGAAAGGGGGAUAAAGCCUUAAAGGAAGGAAAAUUGAGCCAACAUUCUGCUAUGUGUUGUCCCUGACCCAGCACCUUUUACUGAAGAGCUGCAGAAGAUCACCAUUCCAGAGGAUCUCAGCGCUGAGCCAGUCAGAGCUCAGGUUCUUGUUAUUAUCAGACUACUUCUACUACAGUUCAUAUCACUACUGAACAGUAGGUUCUGUCCCAGCUUUCUGCCUGUUAAAAAGGAAGUUUUUCCUCGCCACUGUCACACCAAAUGCUUGCUCUUGGGGUAAUUGU